GAUGAACGCUAGCGGCAGGCUUAACACAUGCAAGUCGAGGGGCAGCAUAAACAUUGCUUGCAAUGUUUGAUGGCGACCGGCGCACGGGUGCGUAACGCGUAUGUAACCUACCUCAAACAGGGGCAUAACACUGAGAAAUUGGUACUAAUUCCCCAUAAUACUUUGGAAGGCAUCUUCUGGAGUUGAAAGUUCCGGCGGUUUAAGAUGGACAUGCGUUGUAUUAGCUAGUUGGUGAGGUAACGGCUCACCAAGGCGACGAUACAUAGGGGGACUGAGAGGUUAACCCCCCACAUUGGUACUGAGACACGGACCAGACUCCUACGGGAGGCAGCAGUGAGGAAUAUUGGUCAAUGGAGGCAACUCUGAACCAGCCAAGUAGCGUGCAGGAUGACGGCCCUAUGGGUUGUAAACUGCUUUUAUGCGGGGAUAAAUGAGCCUACGUGUAGGUUUUUGCAGGUACCGCAUGAAUAAGGACCGG
Molecule: ribosomal RNA, 478 nt
Filed under: uncultured bacterium
Lineage: Bacteria
Description: bacterial SSU rRNA
Rfam family: Bacterial small subunit ribosomal RNA
Source: RNAcentral